GCUGUGGUGCAGGCUGGCAGGGCAGGAGCUGACCUUUCCGGAAUGGAAUGCUGCCUGAGCAGUCAGCUCCAGAAGGGAAGGGGGCGUUGGGCCACUUUCCUCGCCCUCUUCAGUCCUCAGGUCCCCUGAGACAGGUCUCGGAGCCCUGGCCUCUCUUCUGGGGAAGGGGGCAGGUGAGGCUGGCUGACUGUGUGGACACUUGCCCGAUCACUUCAAGUCAAGCCCCCUGGGCCAGGCUGAUUCCAACCCGACUAAGGAUAAGCUUCACAACAAAUCUAUGAAGCAGACAGACACUGUUUACCUCCUGGAGGCUAUCCAAGACCACACAGCUGGAACCAGGGUUUGCUCUACAGACCAUGGUCUCAGUGACGAUCACUCCUGCCUCCUGGGCAGGGACCACCCGAGGAACUGAGAAUGCUGGAAGCCAAGCUUGCACAUUCUAGGCAGCCAUUUGGAAGAUUCUUCUCUGCGCAUGAACAGCUGAAAAGGAAAAACCCCGAAACAUUGGCACUGUGAUUUCUCCAUGUGAACAGUUUAGUUCGCCAAGGUGGACACGCCUCAUUCAUGCUUAUGGGGUGACCGACCUGCCUUUAGUGACACCCCCUGAAAUGUGAGUCAUCUAUGGGUUACUAGUCAUUGGAGAAGAGCCCCUCACACAAAAAUUGGAGCUCAGACCACAAACAACAACAACAACAACAACAACAAUCCAAAAAAUAAAAAAACGAAAAAUUAGGAGCAGAGACUAAAUGGAAAGAUGGAAAUAUUAAAAUAAAAAUAUUA
This 780-nucleotide long non-coding RNA is filed under the name Pongo abelii (Sumatran orangutan). RNAcentral describes it as "lincRNA". Lineage: Eukaryota; Metazoa; Chordata; Mammalia; Primates; Hominidae. The record is from RNAcentral.